UGAUUGUUGAAUAGAUUAGAUCAAUAUAUUAGUAAGUUUUUAUUAGACCAAGAUGAGAGUCAGUUUUUAUUGGAUUAAUCUGUCAUAUCUCAAAUUUUAUUUCAUUUAAGAACAAAAUAUAAUGUUAUGUUUGUAACUAUUAAAAAAUCAAGGAGAAGAUGAAAAUUAAAUUAUAUUUUAUCUUUAAAUAAAAUAAAAUUUUGGGUAUAACAAAUUAGUCCAAUAGAAACUUAUUGAUAUUUUGAUCUAAUCUAUUCACCAACCA
Molecule: microRNA precursor, 265 nt
Filed under: Glycine max (soybean)
Lineage: Eukaryota; Viridiplantae; Streptophyta; Magnoliopsida; Fabales; Fabaceae
Description: miR1528 stem-loop (gma-MIR1528)
Source: miRBase by way of RNAcentral